CCUACGGGAGGCAGCAGUAGGGAAUCUUCCGCAAUGGACGAAAGUCUGACGGAGCAACGCCGCGUGAGUGAUGAAGGUUUUCGGAUCGUAAAACUCUGUUGUUAGGGAAGAACAAGUAUGAGAGUAACUGCUCGUACCUUGACGGUACCUAACCAGAAAGCCACGGCUAACUACGUGCCAGCAGCCGCGGUAAUACGUAGGUGGCAAGCGUUGUCCGGAAUUAUUGGGCGUAAAGCGCGCGCAGGCGGUUCCUUAAGUCUGAUGUGAAAGCCCACGGCUCAACCGUGGAGGGUCAUUGGAAACUGGGGAACUUGAGUGCAGAAGAGGAAAGCGGAAUUCCACGUGUAGCGGUGAAAUGCGUAGAGAUGUGGAGGAACACCAGUGGCGAAGGCGGCUUUCUGGUCUGUAACUGACGCUGAGGCGCGAAAGCGUGGGGAGCAAACAGGAUUAGAUACCCCAGUAGUC
Molecule: ribosomal RNA, 465 nt
Filed under: uncultured Bacillus sp.
Lineage: Bacteria; Bacillati; Bacillota; Bacilli; Caryophanales; Bacillaceae
Description: bacterial SSU rRNA
Rfam family: Bacterial small subunit ribosomal RNA
Source: RNAcentral